This 481-nucleotide ribosomal RNA is filed under the name uncultured bacterium. RNAcentral's name for it is "partial 16S ribosomal RNA". It matches the Rfam family "Bacterial small subunit ribosomal RNA", at positions 30 to 506 of the family's 1533-position model. The record is from RNAcentral.
AUUGAACGCUGGCGGCAUGCCUUACACAUGCAAGUCGAACGGUAACAGGUCUUCGGAUGCUGACGAGUGGCGAACGGGUGAGUAAUACAUCGGAACGUGCCCGAUCGUGGGGGAUAACGAGGCGAAAGCUUUGCUAAUACCGCAUACGAUCUACGGAUGAAAGCGGGGGAUCUUCGGACCUCGCGCGGACGGAGCGGCCGAUGGCAGAUUAGGUAGUUGGUGGGAUAAAAGCUUACCAAGCCGACGAUCUGUAGCUGGUCUGAGAGGAUGAUCAGCCACACUGGGACUGAGACACGGCCCAGACUCCUACGGGAGGCAGCAGUGGGGAAUUUUGGACAAUGGGCGAAAGCCUGAUCCAGCCAUGCCGCGUGCAGGAUGAAGGCCUUUGGGUUGUAAACUGCUUUUGUACGGAACGAAAAGCCUCUUUCUAAUAAAGAGGGGUCAUGACGGUACCGUAAGAAUAAGCACCGGCGAACUACGU